This 1337-nucleotide ribosomal RNA is filed under the name uncultured bacterium. Its description in RNAcentral is "bacterial SSU rRNA". It matches the Rfam family "Bacterial small subunit ribosomal RNA", at positions 28 to 1381 of the family's 1533-position model. The record is from RNAcentral.
GACGAACGCUGGCGGCGUGCUUAACACAUGCAAGUCGAACGGAAAGGCCCUUCGGGGUACUCGAGUGGCGAACGGGUGAGUAACACGUGGGUGAUCUGCCCUGCACUUUGGGAUAAGCCUGGGAAACUGGGUCUAAUACCGAAUAGGACCACGCGCUUCAUGGUGUGUGGUGGAAAGCUUUUGCGGUGUGGGAUGGGCCCGCGGCCUAUCAGCUUGUUGGUGGGGUAAUGGCCUACCAAGGCGACGACGGGUAGCCGGCCUGAGAGGGUGACCGGCCACACUGGGACUGAGAUACGGCCCAGACUCCUACGGGAGGCAGCAGUGGGGAAUAUUGCACAAUGGGCGCAAGCCUGAUGCAGCGACGCCGCGUGAGGGAUGACGGCCUUCGGGUUGUAAACCUCUUUCAAUAGGGACGAAGCGCAAGUGACGGUACCUAUAGAAGAAGCACCGGCCAACUACGUGCCAGCAGCCGCGGUAAUACGUAGGGUGCGAGCGUUGUCCGGAAUCACUGGGCGUAAAGAGCUCGUAGGUGGUUUGUCGCGUUGUUCGUGAAAACUCACAGCUUAACUGUGGGCGUGCGGGCGAUACGGGCAGACUAGAGUACUGCAGGGGAGACUGGAAUUCCUGGUGUAGCGGUGGAAUGCGCAGAUAUCAGGAGGAACACCGGUGGCGAAGGCGGGUCUCUGGGCAGUAACUGACGCUGAGGAGCGAAAGCGUGGGGAGCGAACAGGAUUAGAUACCCUGGUAGUCCACGCCGUAAACGGUGGGUACUAGGUGUGGGUUCCUUCCUUGGGAUCCGUGCCGUAGCUAACGCAUUAAGUACCCCGCCUGGGGAGUACGGCCGCAAGGCUAAAACUCAAAGGAAUUGACGGGGGCCCGCACAAGCGGCGGAGCAUGUGGAUUAAUUCGAUGCAACGCGAAGAACCUUACCUGGGUUUGACAUGCACAGGACGCCGGCAGAGAUGUCGGUUCCCUUGUGGCCUGUGUGCAGGUGGUGCAUGGCUGUCGUCAGCUCGUGUCGUGAGAUGUUGGGUUAAGUCCCGCAACGAGCGCAACCCUUGUCCUAUGUUGCCAGCGGGUUAUGCCGGGGACUCGUAGGAGACUGCCGGGGUCAACUCGGAGGAAGGUGGGGAUGACGUCAAGUCAUCAUGCCCCUUAUGUCCAGGGCUUCACACAUGCUACAAUGGCCGGUACAAAGGGCUGCGAUGCCGUGAGGUGGAGCGAAUCCUUUCAAAGCCGGUCUCAGUUCGGAUCGGGGUCUGCAACUCGACCCCGUGAAGUCGGAGUCGCUAGUAAUCGCAGAUCAGCAACGCUGCGGUGAAUACGUUCCCGGGCCU